AUCCAGAUGAUGAGUCCCAAAUUAUACGAAACGCUCGUCCUAGAU
This 45-nucleotide non-coding RNA is filed under the name Schistosoma curassoni. The record is from RNAcentral. Lineage: Eukaryota; Metazoa; Platyhelminthes; Trematoda; Strigeidida; Schistosomatidae.